GGCUAUGGCUGUAUGCUGUCUUUUCAUUUCAAUGUACAUGAUAUUAGCAUCAAGUAGAAGGUGUAGAACUUUAUGUCUGUCUCUGGUAUUAAAGAGAUAGUUUAGUGCUAUUGAAUCAAUCACUAGUCGGAGAAAUCCACUGUUUGUGCAUGCUUGCCUGUUUUGUUCAUAUCCCUUUAAAUGAAACUCAUCUCCUCUUCAUACAGGUGACUUUUAUCUUUUUCAUCUGCAAUGCCAUGUGGCUGGUGGCAACGUUCACUCUUCAGGCCAUUGGAUCCUCAGUCACCAUCAGAAUCCCAAAAUCCAAUCUCAAUCUGACUCAGACUAGGGAGUAUCUAUUUAUCGAUCCAAUAGGACUGAUGUUCCUUUUGGGAUUUGCAUCCUUACUGCUGAUCCAAUUCUUUGCCAUGUUCUACCACAGAAUUUACACUCUGAUCCAUUUUGUGGCAUUUGUGAACACGGAGUCCAAGACUGAGGGAAGACAACCAGGCGAUGACAUGCAGAUUCCUGACAUGCUGGAGAAAGAGCUCAAAUACGACAAAUUCUUUGACACAUUUCUGUCUAUAGAGAAUCCAGCAGCAAUCCAGCAACAUAACCAAGAAACUCCAGUGUGAGGUCUUACUACUGACUGUCUCUUAAUGGUAGCAGUUGCAGCUAAAAUAGGAGUAGGAGUCGGAUAGGGGCACUGCAGUUUUGUGUUAGAUGUUGCACAGUUACAUAUAGUAGUAUUGAGGGAGAAUGUUCCAAGUAGUAGAGAUUAUAGAGUAUUUAUUUUAUUUAAUAUAGUUAACCUUUGUUUAACCAGGAAAAGACCUUUGAUGAACCUCUUUUGCGAGAGCAGUGUGAACAUACAAUACAAGAGCAAAGACAGGGACAAAACAUUAAAAACAAUUGCAGCGGUCAACAACAUGUAUUAUAGCAUAACGGAGUAUAACAAUUGACUGUGAGUUAAAUCUCAGGGAAAUGUGAUAUAAUGUUAUCAUAUUGCUUUCCCUUUUUUGUCAAAUGCUUUGUUAUGAAUCACUUCCGAUUAGUAUUUAGGUUAGCAGUUAUACUUUUCCCUUUUGAAUGAAGAACUUUAUCUGUUUAUUGCACUGAUUUAUGGAGAUAUUUAAUGAACUUUUAGUGGAGUUAUGUUUGCUAUGUAUUUAUUAUGUAACUGAAUAGAACAAAUACAUUUCUUUUUUUAACUAGGCUAAGUCAGUUAAGAACAAAUUCUUAUUUACAAUUUAUAUGCCCUCUACACCGAUAACAAAUUGUGCUUUGUUUCAUUCUGCUAUCUGUAUUCUAAUCAAUGCGUAAUAAAACUAUAUACAUUCUG
Molecule: non-coding RNA, 1321 nt
Organism: Salmo salar (Atlantic salmon)
Lineage: Eukaryota; Metazoa; Chordata; Actinopteri; Salmoniformes; Salmonidae
Source: RefSeq, a predicted model, not a curated record